This 885-nucleotide ribosomal RNA is filed under the name Tumidispora thailandica. RNAcentral's name for it is "Tumidispora sp. DST-2022a partial large subunit ribosomal RNA". It matches the Rfam family "Eukaryotic large subunit ribosomal RNA", at positions 32 to 941 of the family's 3401-position model. Lineage: Eukaryota; Fungi; Ascomycota; Dothideomycetes; Microthyriales; Microthyriaceae. The record is from RNAcentral.
ACUUAAGCAUUAUCAAUAAGCGGAGGAAAAGAAACCAACAGGGAUUGCUCAGUAACGGCGAGUGAAGCGGCACAAGCUCAGAUUUGAAAUCCGGCCUCUGGGUCUGAAUUGUAAUCUGUAGAGGAACGUUCGGUUGCGGAGUCGGUCCAAGUUUCCUGGAACGGAACGUCGCAGAGGGUGAGAACCCCGUACGCGGUCGACAUCCAAGGCCAUGUGAACGUCCUUCGACGAGUCGAGUUGUUUGGGAAUGCAGCUCUAAUCGGGUGGUAAAUUCCAUCUAAAGCUAAAUAUUGGCCAGAGACCGAUAGCGCACAAGUAGAGUGAUCGAAAGAUGAAAAGCACUUUGGAAAGAGAGUUAAACAGUACGUGAAAUUGUUGAAAGGGAAGCGCUUGCGACCAGACUCGUGUGCGGAUGCUCAGCCGGUCAUUUGGCCGGUGCACUCAUCCGUAGCCGGGCCAGCAUCGGUUCGGGCGGCCGGACAAAGGCGACGGGAACGUGGCCCUCUUCGGAGGGUGUUAUAGCCCGACGCACAAUACGGCCAGCCUGGACCGAGGAACGCGCAUUGCUAGGAUGCUGGCGUAAUGGUUGCAAGCGGCCCGUCUUGAAACACGGACCAAGGAGUCUAACAUCCGUGCGAGUGUUAGGGUGUCAAACCCUCAUCGCGUAAUGAAAGUGAACGGAGGUGGGAGCUUCGGCGCACCAUCGACCGAUCCGGAGGCUUGCCGAUGGAUUUGAGUAAGAGCACGGCUGUUGGGACCCGAAAGAUGGUGAACUAUGCGUGAAUAGGGUGAAGCCAGAGGAAACUCUGGUGGAGGCUCGCAGCGGUUCUGACGUGCAAAUCCGAUCGUCAAAUUUGCGUAUAGGAGCGAGAGACUAUCAUAACG